GCCUGGUAGCUCAAUUGGCAGAGCGGGGGAUUCGCAAUCUCCAGGUCGCUGGUUCAAGUCCAGCCCAGGCCA
Molecule: transfer RNA, 72 nt
Filed under: Candidatus Peregrinibacteria bacterium
Lineage: Bacteria; Candidatus Peregrinibacteriota
Description: tRNA-Ala
Rfam family: tRNA
About the family: Transfer RNA (tRNA) molecules are approximately 80 nucleotides in length.
Source: RNAcentral